AGAAUGGAAAAUUCUCUGGGCUGGGCAUCUGGGCUGCUCUUUGACUAGAUUCCCUAGAAGGGGAGAACACUGCAGAGACUUUAUAGAGGAGGUGGCUGGUGUCUCUGCAAGUUAAAGGCUGUCUUCUCUGAAUUCUUGCCUGGAAGGGAUUUGAUGAAUGGAUGUGAAAAUAUGUCAUGAAGCUGAAAUUUACAGAAAAGGAGAAGCUACUGUGGGGAAGGGAACAAGGCAUCAAAGUGACACACAAGCACCAUCCCCGCCUGUCCCGAAGAUGAGAGAGAGGGCAGCGCGAUGGUCUGAAGUAGAACCCGAGGAUGGGCUAGGCCAUUUGAAGCCUUGUCCCCAGAAGACCUUUCCUGCAUCUGGAAAUCUGAGCUGACCAGCUCAAAGUCCCAGGUGCAAGUGCUACGUGGUCUUCGACAUGCAGCCCAGAUUCAGCAUCUCCACGCACACCCUCGGCGGCAUGGAUUUCUCAGAGCCCCGGACUCGCUCACCUUGGACUCGCACUGCACCGGCUGGCGGCUCUUCUCCCUCCCCCCCCCAAGAAUGGGAGGAGCUCCGAGGCAGGAGAGGACCCAGCCCGCCCACCUGGCUCUUAUCUCCAGUAUCCACUCCGAUUGUGGAUCUUUGACCUUCACCCUGGAUGUGUUUGUCUCUGGCUCCCUGGGACCUCUAGUCACGGUGCCUCCUCUUCUCUGAGCACAAUUCUUCUGGGACCUUCUUCUCCUCUUCUGUAGGCUCAGGGGUGAGUCUGGAAGAGAAGCUGGUAUACCCCGUUCCUGUCCUACAUACUCCUGUCUAUCUCAGGACAGCACCCCUGCUCCUCCAAGGAGUUUCUCCUUCCUUGCUGGUCAUGGAACCUCUCAGAAGCAAGGCAAGAGCAGCUGAUGAAGGGGUCACAGCCACCGAGAGGAGGCCAGUGGGUGGAAUUCGCAGCAACCGCAGCUCUGAGGUUUGGAAGACAAACAACUUCUGUUUCAGACAAAUGGGAGUGUCAGGUUCUUCCAGCCUGAUGAGAUUACAGCUCAGAGGAUCACGAGGAAUCGAUUCCUCCAGAAGAGGAAAAACACAGCUGGCACAGGAGCUCUGCAGAGCCUUCUGCUAAAGGUAACGCGGGGUCACAGGUUGCGAGGUUCCAGGUGAGGAAGAGAUUAGGGCACGUGCAUCAAGCCCCAAAUAUGGGAAGUGGUGGAUCCAGGGUACGUCGUGAACAUUUGGUGAUGGAAGCAUGACUGGCGUUUCAGAGGCACCAGCUUCUGGGUCCCUUCUGUCUGUCCAGACAAGGCAGAGGAGACAGGAGGAGUUCAGACUGUCAAGGGGAAGUGGUAGAAGGAGGUGCCGGGGGAGGCAGGAGAGGAGAUGGAGGCACUGUCCUUGGUCCCAAAGUUUCCCCAGGGGGCAGCCCCAAAUCUCCGAAAUCCAGGAGAACGGUAUUUCAAGGCAGUAUUUACAAAAACCAAGAUUAAUGCCAGAAUUAUCUGUGAUGAACAAAAUACCAUCAUUUUAGAGGAAGACUAGACAGCAGCGGUUCUGUAUGAAGCAUACUGGACCCCGAGGCAAAGGGAAAAACCAAUCAUUUUGAUCUUGUUGUCUUUAUUUUAAAAUGUGGCAUUUUGUUCGCCAUGAAUGUUUUGCAUUUCUUCCAUUUUUUUAAAUUGUGGUGAAGUAUGAACAAUACAAAAUGUAUCAUUUUAACCGUUUUCAAGUGCAAACUGCCGUGGCAUUGACUAUUUGCACAGUGUUAUGCAAACCCCAUGACCACCGUCCAGAGCUCUUUCCCUCUUCCCAAGGGGAAAUUCUGUCCCAUUAAAUACUGACUCCCUAUGGUCCUUUCCCCUGGUCACCACUAUUCUGCUUUGUCCUCUGUGAAUUUUACUCCUCAGUGCCUCCUGUAAGUGGAACUAUACAGUAUUUGUCUUUCUGGACUGGCUUAUUUCACUUAGCGUAAUGUCCUCAAGGUUCACCUGUGUGGGAGCAGGUGUCAGACUUUCCCUGUUUUUCAGUCUCCCAAUGCACUCAAAAGCAAAAAUAGACAAAUGGGACCUAAUCAAACUUAGAAGCUUUUGCACAGAGAAGGAUGCCAUAAACAAAAUGAAGAGACAAGCUGAAGCAUGGGAGAAAAUACAUGCAAAAAUGCAACCAACAAGGGCUUCUUAAUUUCUGAAAUAUACAAACAGCUCAUACAGCUCAAUCACCACCACCACAACAAAGAACCCAAUCAAAAAAAUGGGCGGAAGACCUAUGUGGACAUUUCUCCAAAGAAGACAUCCAGCUGGCCAAUAGGCACAUGAGAAGAUACUCCACUAUGUAUUAGAGAAAAUGUAAACUAUACCUCAUGCCAGUCAGAAUGGCUGUCAUUAGUGAGUCUACAAAUAACAAAUGCUGGAGAGGGUGUGGAGAAAGGGGGACCCUCCUACACUGUUGAUAGGAAUGUAAAUGAGUGAAGCCACUAUGGAGAAGAGUAUGGAGAUUCCUCAAAAUCUAAAAAGUAGAGUUGCCAAUCCCACCCCUGAGCAUAUACCCAGACAAAACAAUAGUUUAAAAAGAUACACACACCCAGGUGUUCAUAGCAGCACUGUUUACAAUACCCAAGACGUGGAAGCAACCUAACUGUCUACUGAUAGAGGAAUAAAUAAAGAUGUGGUAUAUAUUUGUCUUUAUUUAUUUUUACGGCCAAGUAAUAUUCCAUUGUAUGUAUUCCAUGUAUACAAUGGAAUAUUACCUGGCCGUAAAAAAGAAUGAAGUAAUAUCAUUUGCAGCUACUUGGAUGGACCUAGAGAUUAUCAUACUAAGUGUAGUAAGUCAGAAAGAAAAAUGCCAUAUGAUAUCAUUUAUAUGUAGAAUUUAAAAUACAACACACAUCAACAUAUCUAUGAAACAAAAACAGGCUCGCAGAUAGAACAAGCUUGUGGUUGCCAAGGGGGAGGGGGAGAAGAGGGGAGGGAAAGAUUGGGAGUUCAGGACUAGCAGAUGAAAACUUUAAUGCAUAGGAUGGACAAAAAACAGGGUCCUACUGUAUAGCACUAGGAACUAUUGUCAGUAUCCUGGGGUAAACCAUAAUGAAAAGAAUAUGAAGAAGAAUAUAUGUAUGUGAAAUUGAGUCAUCUUGCUGUAUGGCAGAAAUUAAGAUGUUUAUUGUUUUUUAAAAAACAAUGAACAAGAUUUAUUUUUAGAAAUGUAAGUCAACCUGUAUGGCUAGGAAAAAUAACAAAAAGGAACAUGACCAACGUGAAAGAGCAAACAAAAGGAAUUAUUAUCUUCCUAUUGGUUGGCAAAGAAUAAAAGGAUUAGUCAAUGUGGGUAAACAUAGCAGUGGAGCAGCACCCUCAAACCUUUAGGUUUUUUUAUUUGUUAAAUUGUUUAAAAUUUUUAUUUAAUUAAAAAAAUUUUUUUAUUACUCAUGAAUUUUAUUACAUUUAUAGAAGACAACAUUUUUAAAUAAACUCUAUUUCGAUAAUUUUUUUAAAUGGCAAAAAAAGAAUUUCCUUCCUUUUUAAAAGCUGAGUAAUAUUCCAUUUUUUGUAUUCACAUGUUUUGUUGGUGCCUCACCCAUCGGUGGACAUGUGGUUGUUUCUUCCUUGGCUGUUGUAAGCAAUGCUGUGAUGAAUAUGGCUUACAAAUAACCGUUGGGUUUCUUUUGAAUGUAUACCCAGAAGUAGAAUUGCUGGAUCAUCUGCUAAUUCUUUGUUUAAGAAGAACCAUCAGUUUUCUACAGUGGCUUUUGCAUUCAUUUUGAUGUUUAGAAAUAUUGCAUUGGAGGGAGUUCCCUAGUGGUUUAAUAGUUAAGCCUCAGUGCUUUUACUGCUGUGGCCUGGGUUUGAUCCCUAGCCUGGAAACUCAGAUCCCAUAGCAAGCUGUUGUGUGCUGUGGCAAAAAUAAAAUAAUAAUAAAAAAUAGCAUUAGAAUAUUAUUUGUCUUAAGUACUGAAGUUUUUAGGAUUUACUUCAGCCUGUCCUGGCCCUGGAAAUACAGCCCAGUGGUUCAUCCAUGGCAUUGAAUGGAGCCUCAAAACUCUUCCAGAACCAUGGAAGGACCCCUUGGCCACCCUUUGGUUUAGUGUUUUGUCCUUCUUUGGGAAGAUGAUGCUUUGGAUUGUUUUCUAGUUGUGAGACCAGGUAACACUGACCCACCUGCUACCUGUGACUCUGGUACCGAUCUGUGAAGGAGUUGCCAGCAUUGGGGGACAGUCUGUGACAAAGAGAUGCCAUUCUGAUGGAUGGGAUGCUGAUUGUGCUAAUUAUUCGGAGCAGGAAUUGUACCUUCAGGCACCCUUGAACCUGCAUUUCAUUUGCAGCACUUAAUUCUCCAUGGUCCCCUCAGUGGUUUUAACCUUCGAGUGAGUUUCUCUUCCAUGAAAGGAACCAAUGACAUUGUGAUCUCUUUCUCCAGUCUUUAGUUUUUGUUUUGUUUUUUUUUUUUUAUUGGUAAAAAGAAGAGCAGCAUCACCCCUGGAAUAAAGCAGGACCCCUGUUCUGACCCAUCACCCUUGCACAGUCUGAGCUCAUUCUGGAAUCACAGAAACAACAGUUCAUCUGAGAAACACAAUGGCCCUUUUCUGUCUGUCGUUCCCAAGAGGACAGCCGAAGUGAGCGCCGAUACCCGUGGUGGUCCCCGAGUUCCCAGGAGCAGACAGUGCCUGGCAGGCUGAUGCAUUUGGGUGGCCCCAGGCAGGUGCUCACCAUUUGCUUCUGGGGAAUUCUUCCCGACAGGGAUAGCUCGCUCCUUGGCUUUUUAAGGUUAAAUGUGGGGUUUCCAGGCAGUCAUUUCCAUCCCAUUUUAGAAGGUCCCUUAUCCUCUCGAUGAGGCUCUGUGGUCCUUGUAGGGGGAUGAACGGCUUCGUCCUUAUGCUCAUCCUGGGUCAUGUUUGCUUCUGAUCUCACACCCAGGGACUUGCUCAUCUUUUCUGGCUUGGUUGGAAACGGGAUAAGGAAGGGUCGUGGGGGCAAAGGCUGACGUUUUACCAUUGACUGGAGGGUGAGUGACUCUGAGCCACGUCAUAGCUUUGCUCCUCAGUUUCUCCAGGGGCUCAGCAUUUACAUCUGACCUCCCACCACCCUUUGUCUCUGUUGGGAAGAGUAACUUUGCUAUGAGAAGAGGCGAUGGUGACUAAAUACAAGGGCAUAAGGCUGGCUGGCAGCAUGUAUGUAUUCUACGCGUAAUUAUGAGAGUCCUGCUGUGUACCUGGCAGCCUCCUGGGCGCAAAAGGUGGAGGGUUCCUUAAACGUGGUUAGGGUAUAGUUGGAUGGAGAGAAGUGAAAGAAUUUGAUGAGAGUCUGUGCUUAGAACAGCACCUAGGACAGCUCAGCAAACCAUAGUCCUAUUUCUCUACUGGCCCCCACCGCCAUCCCGUCAUCCCCAUGCCCUGUGCUAGGCCUUGGUGAUGCAAAGAUAAAGAAACUCUCAUUCCCUCCCUUACCUUGCUAAUGAUCCAGAGGGCAAGCUCGACGUGUGAGCCACAUUUUACGUGGGUACGAGAUGAAAGCUCUUCUACCCUCUGCCUCCUCAGUCACUGUUCACAGGAACCCUUUCACAGACUGGGAAACAGAAGUACAUCCCAAGAGUUCAUGUCCUGGCUCAGUGGAAACGAAUCUGACUAGCAUCCGUGAGGACACAGGUUCAAUCCCUGGCCUCACUCAGUGGGUGAAGGACGCGGCACUGCCCUGAGCUGUGGUGUAGGUUGCAGAUGCGGCUUGGAUCUGGCGUGGCUGUGGCUGUGGCGUAGGGCAGCAGGUAUAGCGCCGAUUCACCCGCUAGCCUGGGAACCUCUAUAUGCCACGGGUGUGGCCCUAAAAAGACAAAAAAAAAAAAAAAAAAAAAAAAAA
RNAcentral lists this long non-coding RNA (5822 nucleotides) under Sus scrofa (pig). Its description in RNAcentral is "lncRNA (ENSSSCG00065005773.1)". Lineage: Eukaryota; Metazoa; Chordata; Mammalia; Artiodactyla; Suidae. The record is from RNAcentral.